GCUAUGGCAGUGCAUCUCCAGAAAUCCUCUUUGUUAGCUAAUCCCCAGAAAGACACUUUCAUCUGCCGAUUAGUCAUGCCCCUGCAAGCCUCAAUAACCCGAGGCAGUUUCUAUCCUUGAACGAGUAGCCGUUGCCCACUUGUUGUGAUGCUCUCCACAUUGGUCCACCGAUUGCCACAGAUGGAUUCUAUGUGCAAUUUGGGAGUCCUCCUAUUGCCUUUCUAGUUCACACACACACAAAAAAAAAAGUGAGGAAAGGGAAAGAACAUUCAGAUUUCCAAGAUUCUGUAACAGUUCCUGGUGCAAUAAACUUGACCUAUAUGACAUUGGUUUCUUAGUCUAGUUUACCUUAUUGGACCAUCACUGAUCCUGGGAACCUGGGUCUAUGGUUGAGCCGAUAUCAAGCUGUUUGCCCAUAUGUUGGUUGGUUUUCACUUCUGCUGUUGUAUAUAUUUUUUUAUGAAUAAACAUAUCAAUUGAUUAAAGUUGAUUA
Pantherophis guttatus is the source of this 493-nucleotide non-coding RNA. The record is from RefSeq and is a predicted model, not a curated record. NCBI's taxonomy places the organism in Eukaryota, Metazoa, Chordata, Lepidosauria, Squamata, Colubridae.